RNAcentral lists this Y RNA (108 nucleotides) under Microcebus murinus (gray mouse lemur). RNAcentral's name for it is "Y RNA (ENSMICG00000044747.1)". It matches the Rfam family "Y RNA". Rfam says of the family: Y RNAs are components of the Ro ribonucleoprotein particle (Ro RNP), in association with Ro60 and La proteins. The Y RNAs and Ro60 and La proteins are well conserved, but the function of the Ro RNP is not known. Lineage: Eukaryota; Metazoa; Chordata; Mammalia; Primates; Cheirogaleidae. The record is from Rfam by way of RNAcentral.
GGCUGGCCCAAAGGUAGUGAGUUACCUCACUUGAUUGUUCACAGUUACAAAUUGAACUCCUUGUUCUACUACUUUCCCCUUCUCACUACUGCACUUAAGUAGUCUUAA